UCCCUUCUCCUCUCUCCCCUCUCUGACCAAGCUCUCCCUCUCCCUUCUUCUUGUCUGAGUUCUCCCCCCCUCUCUUCCCACUUAUGACUGCGUCUCCACCGUCGCUGCCGUCGUUGCCGUGGGCUUCUCUGCCGUCGCUGUUGCCAUCCGUCGGAGGUAAGGGUUCUUCCCAUCCUUUUCUUUUUUUGGUUGAUCAGGCCAUCGGGGGGUGGAGGAG
This 217-nucleotide long non-coding RNA is filed under the name Elaeis guineensis (African oil palm). RNAcentral describes it as "long non-coding RNA (EGUI_LNC037571)". The record is from RNAcentral. Lineage: Eukaryota; Viridiplantae; Streptophyta; Magnoliopsida; Arecales; Arecaceae.